UUUUAAAUUAGGUUAGAUCUUAUUAUUUUAGUUAUUUUAAACUAAAAAGAUUUGGCGGUUUUUUAAUCUUUUUAGAGGAACCUGUUUUAUAAAUGAUAGUCCACGAUUAAUUUUACCUAAUGUUUUUUUGUAUAUCUCUGUCGUUGAAUGUUUUUAUAGGUUUAUUUUCUUUUAUUGGUUUGGAAUUAAUUUUAUGUUAGGUCAAGGUGCAGUUAUGGUUAGGUAUAAAUGGGUUACUUUAAUUUUUUUUUUUCAUUUUAUUUUUGGGUAUAUUGUUUUGAUAGGAUUUAAUAGUAAUUUUUUUUAUUUAAGGAUUUGAAUGGGGCUCUAGAUUAUGUA
This 339-nucleotide ribosomal RNA is filed under the name Olarius sp. KY-2002. Its description in RNAcentral is "partial 12S ribosomal RNA". The record is from RNAcentral. Lineage: Eukaryota; Metazoa; Arthropoda; Insecta; Hemiptera; Cixiidae.